UUAGUUGAAGCCAAAAAGAGGCAAAUCACUGUUAAUGGUUGAAUUGAAAUGAUCCAACUGUU
This 62-nucleotide transfer RNA is filed under the name Jesogammarus hinumensis. RNAcentral's name for it is "tRNA-Asn". The record is from RNAcentral. Lineage: Eukaryota; Metazoa; Arthropoda; Malacostraca; Amphipoda; Anisogammaridae.